This 325-nucleotide unclassified non-coding RNA is filed under the name soil metagenome. Its description in RNAcentral is "partial contains 5.8S ribosomal RNA, internal transcribed spacer 2, and large subunit ribosomal RNA". The stretch from base 5 to 121 matches the Rfam family "5.8S ribosomal RNA", at positions 38 to 154 of the family's 154-position model. The record is from RNAcentral.
GAUGGAAGAACGCAGCGAAAUGCGAUAAGUAAUGUGAAUUGCAGAAUUCAGUGAAUCAUCGAAUCUUUGAACGCACAUUGCGCCCCUUGGUAUUCCGGGGGGCAUGCCUGUUCGAGCGUCAUUAUAACCCUCAAGCCUAGCUUGGUGUUGGAGCAUGCUAUCUAGCAGCUCUUAAAAUCAGUGGCAGUGCCCUUCGGCUCUAAGCGUAGUAACUUCUCUCGCUAUGGAAACCGGAUGGUACGCGCCAAAACCACCAACUUUCUAUGGUUGACCUCGGAUCAGGUAGGGAUACCCGCUGAACUUAAGCAUAUCAAUAAGCGGAGGA